CUUGCAGGAAACCGACCAAUAAAUACGCGACUGUAAAAAUCAGAGUCAAUGUUGUAUGUCCAGCUUGUAGUUUAGCAAUAAUGUUUAGAAAUAUAAGAUGACCAGGUAUGGCUAAGGCUAGCAACACUCUGGCAGCUCUUGCAUUUUGACCUACAGGAAAGAACCAAGACAAAUGAAUGUUAUGAACUUUAUUUAUACUGGAUAGCUCUAUCAGUUUUAAACUGUUCUCCCUAGAGAUCCAGUAACAAUGAUCUCUUGUUGAUCUAGUGUUACUACAAGAGGAAACCUAAACUAACUUUAUUUAUGCUGGAUAGCUCUAUCAGUUCUAAACUUUUCUUCCUAGAGGUCCAGUAAUGAUCAUCUCUUAUUGAUCCAGUGUUACUACAGGAGGAAACCUAAACUAAACUAACUUCAUUUAUACUGGAUAGCUCUAUCAGUUCUAAACUUUUCUUCCUAGAGGUCCAGUAAUGAUCAUCUCUUAUUGAUCCAGUGUUACUAC
This is a non-coding RNA of Paramuricea clavata, 499 nucleotides long. NCBI's taxonomy places the organism in Eukaryota, Metazoa, Cnidaria, Anthozoa, Malacalcyonacea, Plexauridae. The record is from the annotation of a GenBank genome assembly.